This 240-nucleotide long non-coding RNA is filed under the name Prunus persica (peach). RNAcentral's name for it is "long non-coding RNA (PPER_LNC007831)". The record is from RNAcentral. Lineage: Eukaryota; Viridiplantae; Streptophyta; Magnoliopsida; Rosales; Rosaceae.
GUACGUAAAACCCUAUAAAUGGGCAAAAUCCCACUUUAUGCUUACCUAUGGGUAAAUUUUAUACUUCAGAACACUUCCAGUUAGAUAUUGUAAGUAACUCUGAAAGGGAAGUUGAGAGGACCGGAACAAGUUUCCGAAGACUAUUGGCAGUACCCUUAUUUUGGUCAUCGCCUGAGCUUUCCCAAUCUUAUCUCAUGCUCAUGGCUGGUAAGAAAUAUAAUUCACGAACUUUUAUCUCCU